GUUUUAUAUGAAAGAAGAGAAGGCUACCACUCCCCUUGACAAGGAUGGAAGAGCCCUUAGGUCUUACAACAUGCAUACAGUUAAGGCAUUGUCACCUACUUUGUGACAUCUAAUCACUGUAUGCA
Molecule: small nuclear RNA, 125 nt
Organism: Jaculus jaculus (lesser Egyptian jerboa)
Lineage: Eukaryota; Metazoa; Chordata; Mammalia; Rodentia; Dipodidae
Source: Ensembl